RNAcentral lists this non-coding RNA (171 nucleotides) under Roseburia sp. Lineage: Bacteria; Bacillati; Bacillota; Clostridia; Lachnospirales; Lachnospiraceae. The record is from RNAcentral.
AAUAAGCAUACAGGAUAAAGUUAUGGAAGAUGGGUGAGAUUCCCACACAAGGCCGUUACUGUGAUUCAUUGAUAUUUUCUAACAGAUGCCACUGAGAAAUUGGGAAGGCGUUAGAAUAUUGCUUUUGCAUAGGUGAUAAGUCAGGAUACUUGCUUUAUUCGGUCAUGAAUA